GAUGAACGCUGGCGGCGUGCCUAAUACAUACAAGUCGAGCGAACAGAUAAGGAGCUUGCUCCUUUGACGUUAGCGGCGGACGGGUGAGUAACACGUGGGUAACCUACCUAUAAGACUGGAAUAACUCCGGGAAACCGGGGCUAAUGCCGGAUAACAUUUAGAACCGCAUGGUUCUAAAGUGAAAGAUGGUUUUGCUAUCACUUAUAGAUGGACCUGCGCCGUAUUAGCUAGUUGGUAAGGUAACGGCUUACCAAGGCAACGAUACGUAGCCGACCUGAGAGGGUGAUCGGCCACACUGGAACUGAGACACGGUCCAGACUCCUACGGGAGGCAGCAGUAGGGAAUCUUCCGCAAUGGGCGAAAGCCUGACGGAGCAACGCCGCGUGAGUGAUGAAGGUCUUCGGAUCGUAAAACUCUGUUAUUAGGGAAGAACAAAUGUGUAAGUAACUGUGCACGUCUUGACGGUACCUAAUCAGAAAGCCACGGCUAACUACGUG
This 497-nucleotide ribosomal RNA is filed under the name uncultured bacterium. RNAcentral's name for it is "partial 16S ribosomal RNA". It matches the Rfam family "Bacterial small subunit ribosomal RNA", at positions 28 to 507 of the family's 1533-position model. The record is from RNAcentral.